Molecule: ribosomal RNA, 534 nt
Filed under: uncultured bacterium
Lineage: Bacteria
Description: bacterial SSU rRNA
Rfam family: Bacterial small subunit ribosomal RNA
Source: RNAcentral
GGCUCAGAACGAACGCUGGCGGCGUGGAUAAGACAUGCAAGUCGAACGAUCAUUACGGGGUAGCAAUAUUCCGUGGUGAGAGUGGCGCAAGGGUGCGUAACACGUGGGUAAUCUGCCGCGAAGACUGGAAUAACCCCGAGAAAUCGGGGCUAAUACCGGAUGUGGUUACCGGGGGCGUUCCUCUGGUAACUAAAGUUGGGGACCGCAAGGCCUGACACUUCGCGAUGAACCCGCGGCCUAUCAGCUAGUUGGCGGGGUAAAAGCCCACCAAGGCUAAGACGGGUAGCUGGUCUGAGAGGACGACCAGCCACACUGGAACUGAGACACGGUCCAGACACCUACGGGUGGCAGCAGUCGAGAAUUUUUCACAAUGGGCGAAAGCCUGAUGGAGCGACGCCGACGUGGGGGAUGAAUGGCUUCGGCCCGUAAACCCCUGUCAUUCGGGAUCAAUGCGACUGACUUAAUAAGUCAAUCGUUGAUAGUACCGGAAGAGGAAGGGACGGCUAACUCUGUGCCAGCAGCCGCGGUAAUACA